UCUCCCUCCUCCCAUCUUCUCCCUCUGGUCAUGUGCAUUUGUUUUCAAAGAAGCAGGCAAACGCACGGAGCCAUGUCCACUGAGGUAGACAGCUAGUAAGCCUACGCCGUAAGCCCGUAACAGACAGCGAUCAUAAU
Molecule: long non-coding RNA, 137 nt
Organism: Etheostoma spectabile (orangethroat darter)
Lineage: Eukaryota; Metazoa; Chordata; Actinopteri; Perciformes; Percidae
Exons: 2
Source: RefSeq, a predicted model, not a curated record